RNAcentral lists this long non-coding RNA (13463 nucleotides) under Triticum aestivum (bread wheat). Its description in RNAcentral is "long non-coding RNA (TAES_LNC027450)". The record is from RNAcentral. Lineage: Eukaryota; Viridiplantae; Streptophyta; Magnoliopsida; Poales; Poaceae.
UCGCUAAGUGAAUGCGUAUUUCUAAAAGUACAUCUCCACCUCCGGCAAGCGUAAUUCUGGCUGAACCGUUUUCUUUUUCCGUUUUAAUUCAAAUUCAGAUUUGACCCUAACUUUGACUGCCUCUAAUUUUUAAAACACAACUCCAAAUGACUUGAUUCGUUUUCUGUUAUUUUUCAAAUUCCAUCUAGUUUAUUUUAGUAUUUAUUUCAAAAAUUUCCAAAUAACUUUUUAGCACUGUUUUGGCUCUAUGUGGUAAGUGUAAUAUUUUGAGAAGAGGAAAACGAAGGGGAGAUUCUCAAAGUUUUGGAAUGCGCCCAAUCUUUCUGCAUGCUUAAGGAAAGCAUCUUGAACACAUGAUAUGGUGAAUGCGUAGGUGUUUGUUUGCAAGUAAAACCGAGUUAUGAAUUUGUUUAACUCAUAUAGAAUUUGCAUAUUACUAGUCAUACAUGCGUGAUCACUUUGAUGGUAUUUUAUCUUCAUUUAAACAUGAAGCACAAGUGAGUAUGGUUAUUGUCACAUGCCACAUAUGCCGGUGUUGGUCCAGGCUAAUUUGCAGGAAGAAUUGGUCACGAGAAAAGUGACCGUGAGACUAAAAUCUCCUUGUGACGAGAAUGAUCAGUGAGGGUAUGUUGGGACAUACCAGGUGGUGACCCUGUUGGGUACUGCCAAGGAUUUAUAUUGCGCUAAUCACUGUAGAAAAACUUAAGCUUCCUAAGUUGACCAUAGAUCGACUCUUGCUCCGAUAACCCCCAUACUGAUUUCGUGCUACCACUUGCCCCUGCCACAAGUAGGGUAUGGUUUAGUAAGUUGUUAACCCCUUUCCCUGCACACACCAUACAGAGAGGCCGCGAUGAAGGUUUCCAGGUACCGGUUGCAAUGCGAGUCAGGGGGCAUGGGUGUAUCCGGCUGGCCGAGAGGGGACACCCCUUGUAAUCCACGUGUGUUAAUAAUGAUCACAUGCUACUCGAGAUGAUGGUCUCCCCGCCUUGGAAUUUCUCUUGAACGAUGCUUCCGGUGAUUCCUGGCAUCCGGAAAGUUAAUCUGGUGUGUUCUGGUCAGGUGUGUUUUCAGCCCAAAGGCUGUAAUGGGAAUUAGUUAGCCUCUCGGUGUUGGCUAGAGAAAUCCUAUACACGUGGGUAAAGAGUACAACAUGUCCAGAGUGUAAGACCUAUUCGAAUAGCCAUGUCCGCAGUUAAGGACUACAGUCUGGGUUGGUCAAGUGUCGGUCUUAGUGUCACUCUCCGGAGGGAAUAAUUAAAUUGAUCAUGGUUCAUUUUGCAGGAUAAUUAUUGUCACUACUGGUGCUAUUAUGAAUAUUAUUAUUGAAAUGAAUAAUUUUGUGGACUAACCUUUUCCUCUUAUGAGCAACCUUGAGUAUCUCUUGGGAUGGCUAGACUACCCGGGAUAGUCAUUUCCAUUUUAGUUUCUGAGUAUCACUUGGGAUGGGUAGUCCACCUGGAUACCUGUGUUAUUAUUGUCGUAUAAGCCCUCUAUGAGGCGUUGCUUCAUAAACCCGACCGUGGCAUUUAUUUUAACGACCUUGAUACGUAUCCAACGUAUCUACUUUUCCAAACACUUUUGCCCUUGUUUUGGACUCUAACUUGCAUGAUUUGAAUGGAACUAACCCAGACUGACGAUGUUUUCAGCAGAAUUGCCAUGCUAUUAUUUUUGUGCAGAAAUAAAAGUUCUUGGAAUGACCUGAAAAUCCAUGGAGACACGUUUUGGAAUUAAUAAAAAAUAUUGGUGAAAGAAUCAACGUAAGGGGGCCCACACCCUGUCCACGAGGUUGCAGGGCGUGCCCCCUGCCUCGUGGGCCCCCUGGACCUACACUGACCUCAACUCCAACUCCAUAUAUUCACAUUCGGGGAGAAAAAAUCAGAGAGAAGGAUUCAUUGUGUUUUACGAUACGGAGCCGCCGCCAAGCCCAAAUCUUCCUCGGGAGGCUGGUCUGGAGUCCGUUCGGGGCUCCAUAGAGGGGAAUCUGUCACCAUCAUCAUCAUCAACCAUCCUCCAUCACCAAUUUCAGAUCUGAACCUAUUAUGUUAUCAUGAAUAUAUGUGAGUUCUUUAUCCUAUCUUGCAAGUCAAUAGUCACCUACUAUGUGUUAUGAUCCAGCAACCCCGAAGUGACAAUAAUCGGGACCACUCCCGGUGAUGAGCGUAGUUUGAGGAGUUCGUGUAUUCACUAAGUGCUAAUGAUUUGGUCCGGUACUCUAUUAAAAGGAGGCCUUAAUAUCCCUUAGUUUCCAAUAGGACCCCACUGCCACGGGAGGGUAGGACAAAAGAUGUCAUGCAAGUUCUUUUCCAUAAGCACGUAUGACUAUAUUCGGAAUACGUGCCUACAUUACAUUGAUGAACUGGAGCUAGUUCUGUGUCACCCUAUGUUAUAACUGUUGCAUGAUGAAUUGCAUCCGACAUAAUUAUCCAUCAUUGAUCCAUUGCCUACGAGCUUUUCACAUAUUGAUCUUUGCUUAGUUACUUCUUCGUUGCCACUUUUACUAUUACUAUAAAGUUGCUAUUGUUACUUUUGCCACCGUUACCAUUACUUCCAUACUACUUUUCUACUAAAUACAUUCUGCAGAUAUUAAGUCUUUCGGGUGUGGUUGAAUUGAAAACUCAGCUGCUAAUACUUGAGAAUAUUCUUUGGCUCCCCUUCUGUCGAAUCAAUAAAUUUGGGUUGAAUAAUCUACCCUCGAAAACUGUUGUGAUCCCCUAUACUUGUGGGUUAUCAAGACCUUUUUCUGGCGUUGUUGCCGGGGAGCAUAGCUCUAUUCUUUGAGUCACUUGGGAUUUAUAUCUAUUGAUCACUAUGAGGAACUUGAAAGAUGAAAUAACCAAGAUUUUUCCCUCAACUACGAGGGGAGGUAAGGAACUGCCUUCUAGCUCUGCACUUGAUUCACCUUCUGUAAUGAGUAAAUUUGCGACACCUACACCUAUACCUGCUAUUGAUUCUGAUAUAUCGCAUCUUAUUGAUGAUGCCACUUCUGCUAUGCAUGAUGCUUAUGAUGAAACUACUUCUCUGCUUGAUAAUAUUGUGCCAUUAGGUGAAUUUCUUGAUGAACAAGUUGCUAGGGUUAGAGAGAAUGAAAUUAUUGAAACUGAUAAUAUUGAUGAAAGUGAUGAUGAAGAUUCUCCCCCUAGAUAUGAAUUGCCUGUUGUACCUAAGGAUUAUGUUAUGGAUGAAGAAACUGCUAGAGACUUCCUUGCUUGCAAUGAUAGAUAUGAUCUUAAGAAACGGUUAGCUAAGCUGAAAGAAAAGUCUUUGAAUGCUAGAAUGCAAUAUGACCCUGCUUUUGCUACUUCACCUAUCUGUGUUACCGAUAAGGAUUAUGAUUUCUCUGUCGAUCCUGAGUUAAUUACUUUGGUUGAAUCUGAUCCUUUUUAUGGCUAUGAAUCUAAAACUGUUGUGACACAUCUUACUAAAUUGAAUGAUAUAGCCACCCUAUUUACUCAUGAGGAAAAAAUUCGCUAUUACUAUAUCCUUAAAUUGUUUCCUUUCUCAUUAAAGGGUGAUGCUAAGAUAUGGUUUAAUUCUCUUUCUCCUGGUUGUGUGCGUAGUCCCCGGGAUAUGAUUUAUUACCUCUCUGCAAAAUAUUUUUUUGCUCAUAAGAAACAAGCUGCCUUAAGGGAAAUAUUUAAUUUUGUGCAAAUUGAAAAAGAGAGUCUCCCACAAGCUUGGGGGAGGCUUCUCCGAUUACUGAAUGCUUUGCCUGAUCAUCCUCUCAAGAAAAAUGAAAUACUUGAUAUCUUUUAUAAUGGGCUAACCGAUGCUUCCAGAGACCACCUGGAUAGUUGUGAUGGUUAUGUUUUCAAGGAAAGAACUAUUGAGGAAGCUGAAUUGCUAUAGAAUAAUAUCUGGAGUAAUGAUAAUGAUUGGACACUUUCUGAACCAACUGCUAAGCCUACUCCGAAGAAAAGGGGUAUUCUAUUUCUCAGUCCUAAAGAUAUGCAAGAGGCAAAGAAAUUUAUGAAAGAAAAAGGUAUUAAAGCUGAAGAUGUUAAGAAUUUACCCCCUAUUGAAGAAAUACAUGGUCUUAAUAACCCGACACAUGUAGUAAAGAUAAAUUUUCUCUAUAGAUUUGAUGAAGGUGAUAUUCCUCGUAAUAAGUCUGCUAGUCAAUGCUUGGAUGAGUUUGAUAAUUUUAUUGUUAAACAAGAGAACUUCAAUGCUUAUGUUGGUAGACAAUUGAAACGCAAUGCUUAUAUGAUAGAACACUUGAGUGAUUAUAUGUCUAGAGUUAAGGGUGACCUUAAGCUUAUUAGUAAACAUGCAUCCAUGAUUACCACUCAAAUAGAACAAGUACUUAAGGCACAAGAUGAUUUGCUCAAUGAAUUAAAUAAUAAGAACAAUGAUAAUGUUGUUAGAGUUAUGAAUAGAGGUGGUAAAAUGACCCAGGAACUUUUGUAUCCUAAGGGCCAUCCUAAGAGAGUUGAACAAGAUUCUCAGAGAACUAAUGUUGAUGCACCUAGUCCUUCUAAUAAGAAGAAAAAGAAAAAUGAUAGGACUUUGCAUGCUUCUAGUGAACCCGUUAUUGAUACACCUGAGAAUCCCAAUGAUAUGUCUAUUUCUAAUGUUGAAACACAAUCUGGUAAUGAACAUGAGCCUAGUGAUAAUGUUAAUGAUGAUGUUCAUGUUGAUGCUCAACCUAGUAAUAAAAAUGAUGUAGAGAUUGUGAAGGAAAUAUGCCCUAGAGGCAAUAAUAAAGUUAUUAUUUAUUUCCUCAUAUCAUGAUAAAUGUUUAUUAUUCAUGCUAGAAUUGUAUUAACCGGAAACAUAAUACAUGUGUGAAUACAUAGACAAACAUAUAAUCACUAGUAUGCCUCUACUUGACUAGCUCGUUAAUCAAAGAUGGUUAUGUUUCCUAACCAUAGACAUGUGUUGCCAUUUGAUUGAUGGGAUCACAUCAUUAAGAGAAUGAUGUGAUUGACAUGAUCCAUUCCGUUAGCCUAGCACUUGAUCGUUUAGUAUAUUGCUAUUGCUUUCUUCAUGACUUAUACAUGUUCCUGUAACUAUGAGAUUAUGCAACUCCCGUUUACCGGAGGAACACUUUGGGUGCUACCAAACGUCACAACGUAACUGGGUGAUUAUAAAGGAGUACUACAGGUGUCUCCAAAGGUACAUGUUGGGUUGGCGUAUUUCGAGAUUAGGUUUUGUCACUCCGAUUGUCGGAGAGGUAUCUCUGGGCCCUCUUGGUAAUGCACAUCACUAUAAGCCUUGCAAGCAAUGUAGCUAAUGAGUUAGUUACAGAAUGAUGCAUUACGUAACGAGUAAAGAGACUUGCCGGUAACGAGAUUGAACUAGGUAUUAGAUACCGACGAUCGAAUCUCGGGCAAGUAACAUGCCGAUGACAAAGGGAACAACGUAUGUUGUUAUGCGGUUUGACCGAUAAAGAUCUUCGUAGAAUAUGUGGGAGCUAAUAUGAGCAUCCAGGUUCCGCUAUUGGUUAUUGACCGGAAACGUGUUUCGGUCAUGUCUACAUUGUUCUCGAACCCGUAGGGUCCGCACGCUUAAGGUUUUGAUGACAGUUAUAUUAUGAGUUUAUAUGUUUUGAUGUACCGAAGGAGUUCGGAGUCCCGGAUGAGAUCGGGGACAUGACGAGGAGUCUCGAAAUGGUCGAGACGUAAAGAUCGAUAUAUUGGACGACUAUAUUCGGACUUCGGAAAGGUUCCGAGUGAUUCGGGUAUUUUUCGGAGUACCGGAGAGUUACGGGAAUUCGCCGGGGAGUAUAUGGGCCUUAUUGGGCCAUACAGGAAUAGAGGAGAGAGGCCGAAAGGAAGGAGGCGCGCAGCCCCCCUCUGGUCCGAAUUGGACAAGGGGUGCAGCCCCCUUUUCCUUCCUCCUCUCCCCCUCUUUCCCCCCUUCUCCUACUCCAACAAGAAAGGAGGGAGUCCUACUCCUCGGUGGGAGUAGGACUCCCCUUGGCACGACCCCUCCUAGGCCAGCCACCCCCUCCCCCUUGCUUCUUUAUAUACGGGGGAAGGGGGCACCCUAGAACACACAAGUUGAUCUACGUGAUCAUUCCUUAGCCGUGUGCGGUGCCCCCCUCCACCAUAUUCCACCUCGGUCAUAUCGUCGCGGAGUUUAGGCGAAGCCCUGCGUCGGUAGAACAUCAUCGUCGUCACCAUGCCGUCGUGCUCACGGAACUCAUCCCCGACACUUUGCUGGAUCGAAGUCCGGGGAUCGUCAUCGAGCUGAACGUGUGCUGAACUCGGAGGUGCCGUACGUUCGAUACUUGGAUCGGUUGGAUCGUGAAGACGUACGACUACAUCAACCGCGUUGUCAUAAUGCUUCCGCUUACGGCCUACGAGGGUACGUGGACAUUACUCUCCCCUCUCGUUGCUAUGCAUCACCAUGAUCUUGCGUGUGCGUAGGAUUUUUUUUGAAAUUACUACGUUCCCCAACAGAUUGAACCUGUUGUUAAUCUUGAUAACCCACAAUCAAAGAAUCAACGUUAUGAUAAGAGAGACUUCGUUGCUAGGAAGCACGGUAAAGAAAGAGAACCAUGGGUUCAGAAACCCAUGCCUUUUCCUCCUAGGCCAUCCAAGAGAAAAGGAUGAUGAGGAUUUUGAGCGCUUUGCUGAAAUGAUUAGACCUAUCUUUUUACGUAUGCGUUUGACUGAUAUGCUUAAAAUGAAUCCUUAUGCCAAGUAUAUGAAAGAUAUUGUUACAAAUAAAAGAAAGAUACCAGAAGCUAAAAUUUCCACCAUGCUUGCUAAUUAUACUUUUAAGGGUGGAAUACAAAAGAAACUUGGAGAUCCAUGAGUACCAACUAUAGCAUGCUCCAUUAAAAGAAACUAUGUUAAAACUGCUUUAUAUGAUCUUGGAGCUAGUGUUAGUGUUAUGCCUCUCUCUUUAUAUCGUAGACUUGAUUUGAAUAAGUUGACACCUACUAAAAUCUCUUUGCAAAUGGUCGAUAAAUCAACCGCUAUACUAGUCGGUAUUUGUGAGGAUGUGCCUGUUGUGAUUGCAAACGUUACUAUCUUAACGGACUUUGUCAUUCUUGAUAUUCCCGAGGACAACAGUAUGUUGAUCAUCCUUGUUAGACCCUUUUUGAAUACUGCAGGAGCUGUUCUUGAUUGCAACAAAGGCAAUGUCAAUUUUCAUGUUAAUGGUAAUGAGCAUACGGUACACUUUCCAAAGAAACAACCUCAUGUUCAUAGUAUAAAUUCUAUUGGAAAAAUUUCAACGAUUACUAUUGGAGGUUUUGAAUUUUCUCUUCCUACUGUCAAAAAGAGAUAUGAUAUUCUUAUUGUUGGGGACAUGCAUAUCCCCAUUGAAGUAACCUAGUGUUAUUAAAAAAUUCUCCACUUUCAUGUUAUUUGGAAGAAGUUUGUUAACAAGACUUGAUCAACCUUGUUAGUGGAUUCCUUUUGAUGAGCAUGAGAUGGAUGAAGUUAGAAAGCACAACUCUCUGUACCCUCCUUUUACUUUCUGUUAGUUUGAUUAAAUAAAGCAAAAAUAGUAUUUUCUGUCUGUUUUCUGAAUUAUCCAUGAAAUAAAAAAUACCCCAAAAAUAAAAGUUCUCCAAAUGCCCUGAAAAUGAAGUAUGAUUUUUUUGUAGAAUAUUUAAGAAUUUUUGGCACUUAGAACACACCAGGGGGACCUACCAUUUGGCAAUGAGAGCACAGGACGCGCCCCCUGCCUCGUGGACCCCACUUGGCCCCCCUCCACUUAUUCCAGCACCCACACACUUCGUCUUCCUCCAGAAAAAGUCAUCUCGUAGCUCAAACUCGUGUUCUAGCUCGUUUUGUUGCCAUUUUCGAUCUCCUUGCUCAAAGCUCCAUUCACAAAACUGCUUUGGGGAAUUGUUCUUCGGUAUGUGACUCCUCCAAUUGUCCAAUUAGUUUUUGUUCUAGUGCUUUAUUUAUUGAAAUUUUUUGUUGCUGAGGAGACCUUGUUCUUGAGCUUGGAUGUCAAAUUUAUAUGGUCCAAAGUAGUUUUAAUGCAUGAUAUAGCCUCUAGGCACUUGUGGGAGUAGUUGCUAUUAAUCUUGUUGAGUUUGGUUCACUUUUAUUUUGAGUCACUAAAAAUUUCAGAAAUUUUAUAGAGGAAGGAUGAUGUUUAGAAAAUGUAUCAAGGUGGUUCUUCAAGGAAGCAAGAACCAAGGCUCGCAAUACGUGAGCCGGACUCUGAACCACCAAGGGAAGCUCAAGUGCGGCCUUGUGAAUGGUCGUCGGAAGAAUUUAUGGUCCAAGAAGGCUUCAAGGAUGAAUUUGAUGUGUAUGUAUGCAAUGCUGAUCUUGAGGACUUCAUGUCAGGUAAGUGCCGACAGUACUACUACCUCACUUAUUCCUUUGUGAGGAGGUUUAAAUUUUCAUCCACGCGCAAUACUCACACAGUUUUAUUUGAUCUCUAUGAUAAAUCACCAUGGACCUUGAAGAUUUUAAUACUGCUUGUAAAAUCCCGCAGUGGGGCAAUGUUAGUGAACCUCGCAAAUCUGAAUAUAAAUAUUUUCUUGCUAGUAUCACUAUGGGAGAAACUAGAGAAAUCGCACAAGCUACCAUAGGGAGCACUCAUUUUCCUUAUAUACAUUACUUUGCUCUCUUUAUAGGUAGGUGCAUUAACGGUAAAGAUGAGGUUUGUCACAUGUGCGUUCUAGAUCUUAGCGUCCUCAAGAGUGCGGUAUUAGGUGAUAAACAAUAUAACUUGGGGGGCAUUAUUGCACGGAGGUUACACCUUAAUGGUAAAAGUGGAGAUUUGUUUGGUGGAAUUUAUGCAACUCGCGUAGCUAAUUAUCUUGGUGCGCCCAUAAAUGGAAAUGAUAUUAAGUUGCCACCCGUUUAUAUAGAUUAUAGUCCUAUGGUUCGCCAUCAUUUUUGAGAGGAACGAGCAGUUUCUCCAGUACCGACUAAUCUUUGAAAGACGGUGUACUGUCCACAUUACCCUCAGUGCUCCUACUUUCUUUAACUUCCAGGCAAAAGGAGAUAUUUUAUAACCAGGGAGGAGGCGAAUGAAUAUGAGAGGAGGACGGAGGCAGCUCGCCUCCAAGCAGCAGCUCUGCAGGCAGUAGCUGCUGCAUCACGGUACAACCCCGACUACGACUUUGGAUAUCCGCCAGGCCAGCCAUGGGCAUAGGCCAACUUAGGCCAAAAGCCUAAGCUUGGGGGAGUACGUAUUUCUCACCGACAUUACAUUCAUGUUCACACAAUCAUUCCAGUUGUCGAUGUUCAUACUUUUUCAUUGUACUAUCCAUGCUAGUUUAUUUUCUUUUUCUGCUUUCUUCUUGUGUGUUUGAAAAACCUUAAGAAAAACCAAAAGAAUUAGUUGUAGCCUUUAGCUAGUUUACAUUUCAUGCUUGUAGAUUAUGGAAGAUUUUAGUCCAAUAACCGUUUAUGAUUGUGAAGGGGUGUGGAAGACAUAGAUUUGCCUCUGUAGAUAGAGCCAUCUCCAUGCUUCAAGUUGUUGCGAAGGAGAUUGGCAUGCAUUCUCCCUCGCAACAACUUCCGGGGACUGUUCUUCGCAACAAACUUCCGGGGACUGUUCUUUGGGGGACUGUUCUCUACAUACGGAACAAAAUUAGUGAAUGUACACUCUAAACUACGUCUACAUACCCCCUCUGUUUUAUUUACUCCACAUAUUAGGUUUGUCUAAAGUCAAACUUUACAUACUUUCAAUAAGUUUGUAGAAAAAUAUACUAACAUAUACAGCACCAAACAUAUAUAAUUGGAUUAGUAGUAAUAUUAAAAGAAAACCCAAAAAUAUUUCCCGUUCUUCUUUUGCUUGUUGGGAGCUUUCCCGUGUAAAUAGUUUUAUUUCUUUUCUUUUCUUUGGGGUUCGAGAGGAGAAGACCAUGAUGAAAAUGUUGAGUGGCUCUCAUAUGUGUUACUGUUGAUCUAACUAAGAGCCCAUCUUACCUCGUCUUCUCCUUUGAAUUAAAUGCUUGCAUAUUCCAGCUUAGUCCAAUGCACGUGCACUAUUAUUAUCCACACUGUUCGGUCGUGCAAGUGAAAGGCAAUAAUGACGAUAUAUGAUGAAAUGAUUGAGAUAAGAGGAGCUGGUAUGAACUCGACCUAUCUUGUUUUUGUAAAUAUGAUUAGUUCAUCAUUCCUGAUUUAGCCUGUUAUGAAUGAAACAUGCUUGCAAUAACAAUUAGAGAUUAUAGUUUCUCAUGCCAUGCUUAAUUAGCUAGGAGUUUAUAAUGGUUUUCCUUGUGUGUCAACAUGCUAUUAAAAUGGUUGUGAUGUGGUAUGAUAGGGUGGUAUCCUCCUUUGAAUGAUUCGAGUGACUUGACUUGGCACAUGUUCACGCAUGUAGUUGAAACAAAAUCAACAUAGGCUCCACGAUAUUAUGUUCAUGGUGAUUUAUAUCCUACUCAUGCUUGCACUCAUUGUUUGUUAAUCUUAAUGCAUGUUCACGACUGUUGUCGCUCUCUAGUUGGUCGUUUCCUAGUCUCUUUAUAGCCUUCACUUGUACUAAGCGGGAAUACUGUCUGUGCAUCCACUUCCAUAAACCCCAAAAUUAUUCCAUAUGAGUCCACCAUACCUUCCUAUAUGUUGUAUUUACCUACCUUUCCAAGUAAAUUUGCAUGUGCCAAACUCUAAACCUUCAAAUGAAAUUCUGUUUUCUAUGCUCGAAUAGCUCAUGUAUCAACUAGGGAUGUCUAUAUCUUCCAUGCUAGGUGGGUUAUUCUCACGAUGAGUGGACUCCGCUCAUCAUUCACGAGAAAAUGGCCGGUAACCGGGAUGCCCAGUCCCAUGCUCAAAUCAAAUCAAAAUAAUUGCAAACAGAACUCCCCGGGUUUGUUGUUAGUUGGACGGUACUCCUUGUUUCGGGCCAGCCAUGGAUUCAUGCUCGUUGGUGGAGGGGGGGUAUAAACUUUACCAUUCUGUUUGGGAACCGCUUAUAAAGUAUGUAGCAUGGAAGAUAUCGAGAUCUCUUGGUUGUUAUGUUGACAAUGAAAGUAUGCCACUCAAAAUAUUAUUUAUCUCUAUUUCAAAACUCGAGCUCUGGCACCUCUGCAAAUCCCUGCUUCCCUCUGUGAAGGGCCUAUCUAUUUACUUUUAUGUUGAGUCAUCAUCCUCUUAUUAAAAAGCACUAGUUGGAGAGCAUCGUUGUCAUUUGUAUGUGGCUAUUAAUUUACAUUGAGUAUGACUGUGACUGGAUCUUUUUUUCCAUGAAUUACAAUAUUUAGUCAGUCCUUGAUCUUCAGGGGUGCUCUGCAUUUAUGUUUUGCGGUCUCAGAAAGGGCUAGCGAGAUAUCAUCUUGUUAUAUCAUAUUAUGAUUGCUUUGAGAAAGUGUUGUCAUCUGAGAUUUAUUAUUAUUGCUCGCUAGUUGAUUAUGCCAUUGAUAUGAGUAAACAUGACACCUAAGUGUUAUUGUGAAUAUGGUUAGUUCAUAAUCUUUGCUGAAACUUGAAUGCUGGCUUUACAUAUUUGCAACAAAAAGAUCAAACAGAGUUUGUAAAAGUUUUUCUUUAUCACUUUCAGUUUGUAAACUGAAUUGCUUGAGGACAAGCAAAAGUUUAAGCUUGGGGGACUUGAUAUGUCUCCAACGUAUCUACUUUUUCAAACACUUUUUCCCUUGUUUUGGACUCUAACUUGCAUGAUUUGAAUGGAACUAACCCAGACUGACGCUGUUUUCAGCAGAAUUGCCAUGGUGUUAUUUUUGUGCAGAAAUAAAAGUUCUCGGAAUGACCUGAAAAUCCACGGAGACAUGUUUUGGAAUUAAUAAAAAAUAUUGGCGAAAGAAUCAACGUAAGGGGGGCCACACCUUGUCCAUGAGGGUGCAGGGUGCGCCCACCCCCCGGGGUGCGCCCCCUGCCUCGUGGGCCCCCUGGACCUCCACCGACCUCAACUCCAACUCCAUAUAUUCAAGUUCGGGGAGAAAAAAACUAGAGAGAAGGAUUCAUCGCGCUUUACGAUAUGAAGCCGCCGCCAAGCCCUAAUCUUCCUCUGGAGGGCUGAUCUGGAGUCUGUUCGGGGCUCGGGAGAGGGGAAUCCGUCGCCAUCGUCAUCAUCAACCAUCCUCCAUCACCAAUUUUAUGAUGCUCACCGCCGUGCGUGAGUAAUCCCAUCAUAGGCUUGCUAGAGGGUGAUGGGUUGGAUGAGAUUUACCAUGUAAUCGAGUUAGUUUUUUUAGGGUUUGAUCCCUAGUAUCCAUUAUGUUCUAAGAUUGAUGUUGCUAUGACUUUGCCAUGCUUAAUGCUUGUCACUAGGGCCCGAGUGCCAUGAUUUCAGAUCUGAACCUAUUAUGUUUUCAUGAAUAUAUGUGAGUUCUUUAUCCUAUCUUGCAAGUCAAUAGUCACCUACUAUGUGUUAUGAUCCGACAACCCCAAAGUGACAAUAAUCGGGACCACUCCCGGUGAUGACCGUAGUUUGAGGAGUUCAUGUAUUCACUAAGUGAUGAUGCUUUGGUCCGGUACUCUAUUAAAAGGAGGCUUUAAUAUCCCUUACUUUUCAAUAGGACCCCGCUGCCAUGGGAGGGUAGGACAAAAGAUGCCAUGCAAGUUCUUUUCCAUAAGCACGUAUGACUAUAUUCGGAAUACAUGCCUACAUUACAUUGAUGAACUGGAGCUAGUUCUGUGCCACCCUAUGUUAUAAAUGUUGCAUGAUGAAUUGCAUCCGACAUAAUUAUCCAUCAUUGAUCCAUUGCCUACGAGCUUUUCACAUAUUGAUCUUUGCUUAGUUACUUCUCCAUUGCCACUGUUAUGAUUACUAUAAAGUUGCUACUGUUACUUUUGCCACCGUUACCAUUACUUCCAUACUACUUUUCUACUAAAUACUUUGCUGGAGAUAUUAAGUCUUUCAGAUGUGGUUGAAUUGACAACUCAGCUGCUAAUACUUGAGAAUAUUCUUUGGCUCCCCUUGUGUCGAAUCAAUAAAUUUGGGUUGAAUACUCUACCCUCGAAAACUGUUGCGAUCCUUUAUACUUGUGGGUUAUCAGACCUCUCGAGGCAUCACUUUUAGACACCCGUUUGGCAUUUCUUUUCAAGACCUCUCGAGGCAUCGCUUUCAGACACCCACUUGGCAUUUUUCUUCAAAUCCCUCGGGCGGUCCAACGCUCGAUGUUCCAUUUCAUUUUCUUGAUUUACUGCUAACAUGAUUUAUUUAUCCUUCUGCACCGUGUGAAUAUUUAUCAUGCCAUGCUUAAAUUUUCAGUCAGCACAUGCAUAUAAUUUAACUCCUCAUGAGCAUAUGGAUUCGGUAUAUCUUUUAUUCAUCAUGUUUGCGAGUACAUUCAAACGUACUCACUGGCUUGUUCCUGGCUAUUGUCUUGGCCAGAUCAUGAUUCAGAGAGGAGUACUACGAAGACACCCCCACAACCUAGGUUUCGAAGAUAGCAGCCACGCGAGAUAGGAGUUACCCAGGUCAGUUGUUCCUGUGGGAAUGAAGUCCCAUCAACGUUGAAGAUCCACGAGUCACUUCUGUCAUCCACCACUAGAGAUCCUUGUUAUAUUCAUUGGACCUUUACGGUCUUGUACUCAAUUUCUUGUAAUUGCUUGGAAUUUUGUAUCAAGGAAGUG